AAACAUCCGCUGGAAGCAGCUACCUCCUGAAACAAGUAAUCAAGAAUAGGCCGUGUUGCCUGGUAACAGCCUAUCCUGGAUUACUUGAACCAGGCCGAAGCCUUCAUAGAACGGUCUUCCUCCUCUUCUUUACAGCACCAAAACGGGAGGUGGUCUCCUUGGCUCAUAAAAUGAGAUUGCCCCCUCCCUCUGCUGCCCCACUUCCAGAACAGAUGCCAAUGAGAACCCAGAACUGUUGACAAGCCUCCUGCAGAGACAUCAAAAUCAGCUCCCGAAGAUUCCACAACCAUCUGGAGCAGAAUCUGAAGGUUGACCAGCAGCAACAGAGAAUAAGGCUUCUGUGACUCUUCAACCAUUGCACAGAAGAAAGGGAUUUGAGAAUUAUUUGCUCUUCCAUACAACCAUUAAACGUAC
This is a long non-coding RNA of Podarcis muralis (Common wall lizard), 414 nucleotides long. RefSeq lists it as uncharacterized. The record is from RefSeq and is a predicted model, not a curated record. NCBI's taxonomy places the organism in Eukaryota, Metazoa, Chordata, Lepidosauria, Squamata, Lacertidae.